RNAcentral lists this small RNA (125 nucleotides) under Marmota monax (woodchuck). The record is from RNAcentral. Lineage: Eukaryota; Metazoa; Chordata; Mammalia; Rodentia; Sciuridae.
GCCAGGCAUGGUGGCACAUGCCUGUAAUCUCAGUGGCUUGGGAGGCUGAGGCAGGAGGAUCACGAGUUCAAAGGCAGUCUCAACAAUGGUGAGGCCCUAAGCAACUGAGUAAGACCCUGUCUCUA